CCUACGGGAGGCAGCAGUGGGGAAUUUUGGACAAUGGGCGAAAGCCUGAUCCAGCAAUGCCGCGUGUGGGAAGAAGGCCUUCGGGUUGUAAACCACUUUUGUACGGAACGAAACGGUUCGCUUUAAUACAGUGGGCUAAUGACGGUACCGUAAGAAUAAGCACCGGCUAACUACGUGCCAGCAGCCGCGGUAAUACGUAGGGUGCGAGCGUUAAUCGGAAUUACUGGGCGUAAAGCGUGCGCAGGCGGUUUUAUAAGACAGUUGUGAAAUCCCCGGGCUCAACCUGGGAAUUGCAUCUGUGACUGUAUAGCUAGAGUACGGUAGAGGGGGAUGGAAUUCCGCGUGUAGCAGUGAAAUGCGUAGAUAUGCGGAGGAACACCGAUGGCGAAGGCAAUCCCCUGGACCUGUACUGACGCUCAUGCACGAAAGCGUGGGGAGCAAACAGGAUUAGAUACCCUGGUAGUCCACGCCCUAAACGAUGUCAACUGGUUGUUGGGUGCAUUAGUACUCAGUAACGAAGCUAACGCGUGAAGUUGACCGCCUGGGGAGUACGGCCGCAAGGUUGAAACGUCAAAUUGAAAUUGACGG
This 588-nucleotide ribosomal RNA is filed under the name uncultured bacterium. Its description in RNAcentral is "bacterial SSU rRNA". It matches the Rfam family "Bacterial small subunit ribosomal RNA", at positions 338 to 916 of the family's 1533-position model. The record is from RNAcentral.